Molecule: unclassified non-coding RNA, 87 nt
Filed under: Pseudomonas gessardii
Lineage: Bacteria; Pseudomonadati; Pseudomonadota; Gammaproteobacteria; Pseudomonadales; Pseudomonadaceae
Source: RNAcentral
UGUGGGAGCGGGCUUGCCCGCGAUGCAGGCGCUGCGGUCUGGCUGACAGCCCGCGGUGAUGCUAUCGCGGGCAAGCCCGCUCCCACA